GAUGAACGCUGGCGGCGUGCCUAAUACAUGCAAGUCGAGCGAACGGACGAGAAGCUUGCUUCUCUGAUGUUAGCGGCGGACGGGUGAGUAACACGUGGAUAACCUACCUAUAAGACUGGGAUAACUUCGGGAAACCGGAGCUAAUACCGGAUAAUAUUUUGAACCGCAUGGCUCAAAAGUGAAAGACGGUCUUGCUGUCACUUAUAGAUGGAUCCGCGCUGCAUUAGCUAGUUGGUAAGGUAACGGCUUACCAAGGCAACGAUGCAUAGCCGACCUGAGAGGGUGAUCGGCCACACUGGAACUGAGACACGGUCCAGACUCCUACGGGAGGCAGCAGUAGGGAAUCUUCCGCAAUGGGCGAAAGCCUGACGGAGCAACGCCGCGUGAGUGAUGAAGGUCUUCGGAUCGUAAAACUCUGUUAUUAGGGAAGAACAUAUGUGUAAGUAACUGUGCACAUCUUGACGGUACCUAAUCAGAAAGCCACGACUAACUACGUG
Molecule: ribosomal RNA, 497 nt
Filed under: uncultured bacterium
Lineage: Bacteria
Description: partial 16S ribosomal RNA
Rfam family: Bacterial small subunit ribosomal RNA
Source: RNAcentral